Molecule: transfer RNA, 76 nt
Filed under: Osteobrama belangeri (pengba)
Lineage: Eukaryota; Metazoa; Chordata; Actinopteri; Cypriniformes; Cyprinidae
Description: tRNA-Leu
Source: RNAcentral
AACUAGGAAGAGGAUUUGAACCUCUGGUAAAAAGGGCUUAGGCCUUUCGCAAUUUACCGUGCUCUGCCAUCCAAGU